Molecule: small RNA, 1109 nt
Filed under: Pongo abelii (Sumatran orangutan)
Lineage: Eukaryota; Metazoa; Chordata; Mammalia; Primates; Hominidae
Description: processed transcript
Source: RNAcentral
UUCUCCCUGAGUCAUCCUUGCUCCCUCCCUCCUCAUUCUCUUUCAUUUCCUGGGCUUGUGUUGCUACGUUGGAAGUCUGUCUGUCUCCUGGAAAGGGCAGAGCAAGUCCACUGUGGGCACUGUGUUUAGUCUUGAGUCAGAGGAGGAGGAAUACCCUGGAAUCACUGCAGAAGAUAGCAAUGACAUUUACAUUCUGCCCAGCGACAACUCUGGACAAGUCAGUCCCCCAGAGUCUCCAACUGUGACCACUUCCUGGCAGUCUGAGAGCUUACCUGUGUCGCUGUCAGCUAGCCAGAGUUGGCACACAGAAAGCCUGCCAGUGUCACUAGGCCCUGAGUCCUGGCAGCAGAUUGCAAUGGAUCCUGAAGAAGUGAAAAGCUUAGACAGCAACGGAGCUGGAGAGAAGAGUGAGAACAACUCCUCUAAUUCUGACAUUGUGCACGUGGAGAAAGAAGAGGUACCCGAGGGCAUGGAAGAGGCUGCUGUGGCUUCUGUGGUCUUGCCAGCGCGGGAGCUGCAAGAGGCACUUCCUGAAGCCCCAGCUCCCUUGCUUCCACAUAUCACUGCCACCUCCCUGCUGGGGACAAGGGAACCUGACACAGAAGUGAUCACAGUUGAGAAAUCCAGCCCUGCUACAUCUCUGUUUGUAGAACUUGAUGAAGAAGAGGUGAAAGCAGCAACAACUGAACCUACUGAAGUGGAGGAGGUGGUCCCCGCACCGGAACCCACAGAAAUGCUGCUGAGUGAGAAGGAGACAAACGCAAGGGAAGAGAGCCUUGUGGAAGAGCUGUCCUCUCCCGGCGAGAAGAAGCCCAUGCCGCUGUCUGAGGGCAAGUCUAGACUGUCCCCCGCCGGUGAGAUGAAGCCCAUGCCGCUGUCUGAGGGCAAGUCUAUACUGCUGUUUGGAGGGGCUGCUGCUGUUGCCAUCCUGGCAAUGGCCAUUGGGGUAGCCCUGGCUCUGAGAAAGAAAUAGGAGGCUUUUCAGAAGAGAAAGACAGAAGGAUGUAAGGUUGGAGUUGUAUUGGCUGGAAUUUGAACCUCCAGCAGCUGUCUGGACAUUUGUGGAACACUCUGGGGUAAUUGGGGACUUCUGCUCAAUAUGGCAGUGG